This 1097-nucleotide long non-coding RNA is filed under the name Mus musculus (house mouse). RNAcentral's name for it is "long non-coding RNA chr7:96585811-96586908". The record is from RNAcentral. Lineage: Eukaryota; Metazoa; Chordata; Mammalia; Rodentia; Muridae.
AUAGUAUCUUAUUCCUCCCCGUUAUCCAGUUGAGAGUCUUUGUACUGAUUACCAUCUAUUGCAAGGGGAAGCUUCUCUAAAUGAGGGUUGAGAGAUGUCUGAUUUAUGGCUAUAGCAAGGAGGAGUCUUGUGUGUCCCAGGCUAGUGUCAAACUCACUUUGGAAAAGAGGAUGGCUUUGAACUCCUGACCUUUCUCCCUGUGUGUCCCUCCUAUCAAUGAGAUUACAAGUGUAAACUUCUAUGUGUGGCUUGUGACAAUCUUUUCACUAACUAGAUUCAUCUUUCUUCGGAACUAAAGGAGACACACCCUACUAUUAUACUGUAAUCUUGGUCUUUGGCUCCUUCACACACACACACACACACACACACACACACACACACACACACAUCUUGGGCUCCCUGAUCAACAGUCAGUCUGAUGUGAGCUGAAUCUGGUUGCCUGUUAGCUUGCAAGGUUUACAGCAGGCCACCUAUAUACCUCACACCUUCUCAUUGCAAGAGGAGCUUCUUGGAAACUAAAUUACCAGAGACUCUUUCUCAUAGAAAAACCUCAAGGCAGGCAGUGCAGAGAUCUGGAUUCCAGGCCUGGUCUGCCAUUCUCAAGUCCUGAUCCAUCACCUCUCUCUUGGACUUCUUUUCUUUACUUGUCAGGCAAAGUAGUGCUCUUUCCGUUUCAAUGGUCCAAGGUUGUAAAUUCCAUAAAGCAAAAGGGGAGCCCCAAGUGGGGGGAAAGUUCUGGAGUGCUGUUGUGAUGGCUGGUGUAACCUCAGGCCUCUGGGUGAGGGAUACAGGCUUGUGUCUCUGAGUGCAAACUGCUAUCCCUUUGCUUUAAAGAAAGAACGCAAGAGAGCAGCUAUCUGCUUUCACAUACUGGUGUUCAAUCUUUAUCAACACCAGUUAUCUUAACUAUGAUGACUACAGCACUCUCCCUGAGGCCUGACAUUCAGACACAGAGAGGCCCUUGUACUCCCAGAGAGCUGUAGAAUGCUCUGAUAUUUUACAGGCAACUCUUUGUUGUGGAGUUUGGCUUGUGUGUUGUAGUAUGUUAACUGCAAUCCUUGCCUUGACCCUAGCACCUCUUCUGGGUUGUAGCAGCC